This is a non-coding RNA of Vicugna pacos (alpaca), 1651 nucleotides long. The record is from RefSeq and is a predicted model, not a curated record. NCBI's taxonomy places the organism in Eukaryota, Metazoa, Chordata, Mammalia, Artiodactyla, Camelidae.
UAUAUUAUAUUCAUAAUUCAGAAUUUUAAAUAAAAUUAUAGAAACCUGCCUGAACCCAUCAAUCAAGCUGACCAUCACUGCCUAUUAAUGUGAUGCAAUAGGAAGAUUACAGCACAGCCAAUGGAGUGUGUUUGCCAAAAUAAUUGUAAAUAGGAAUGGACUGUGAGCUCUCAGGAGCCCACUCCCACCCAUCUGUUGCUCAGGAUUGAUCUGCAGUCAAAGGCUGGAAGAAUUAAGAGUCCACAAUGACUAAUGUCUACAUGUACAGUGGAGUUUUCCAGAAGCUAAAUGAGUGAUAUAGCACAACAGGCUGACUGCAGAAACUGAUACGAGAAUCCAGCUGUCUUCUAUUAAGUUAUUCAGUUAAAAGUAUUGCAAAAAUGUAAAAACAGUGUUCCUCUUACUCUUCUUAAAACGUCUUGGUUAUUUGGAAAUAUUUAUUAUUUAUAAAAAUGUUACUUAUGUUGACAUGUUAUAGGAUUAUUAUUAUUUUAAAUUAGUAAACAUUGUUGGAAUGUGUAAUAUAGUAAAUAGCAGUAGAUAGAACACACAUAAAUCAAAAACUCUUUGGGAUCCUCAACAAUUUUUAAGAGUACAAAGGGGUCCUGAGACCGAAAAGACUGACAACCACUAAUUUAGAGAGCUAAGAUUACCAUACCAUGGAUGGUUGGGCAGGCUGUUAUGAGUACAAGGAUGCCAGGCCAAGGGGGUCACUGGGACUAAAAUCCCAUCUAUGCUCAUGCUCUGCUCAUCAAAACCACAGAGGGUACAUUUUUCUAAUUUGCAGAAAGGUCUAGUGGCCACCUUGGCAAUAAAAGACCAGAAGAAGCUAAGGAGUGAACACAAUUGCCUCAAAUGAAUCUACAGGUAUAGAAAUUAGAAUAGUGGUUGCCGCUGAGGGGAGAGGACAGACUGUAAAAGGACAUGAAUACUUUCUGAGUCGAUGGUAAUGUUCUGUCUUGACUGGGUUAGUUCAGAUGCAUACAUUUAAAAUUAUAUAACUGUACAUCCAAAAUCUGUGCCUUUCACUGUACAUAAUUACAGUGCAAUUUUUAAAAAGUGGGUUCCUUGGAGAUAGGGCAGGACUAGUACUUGCAUUUUAAAACUAAGUAUUACUUUGGUUAAACCCAAAAUUGAAUUUAUAAAAUUCUAUCAACAUCUAUUAUGUAAUAAGAAAUGUAUUUUUAUACAAAAAUGGACAUAGCUACUGAAUGCUAAGGAUUUUUAUGUGCAGGAACGAAUCCUCCCCAGAAUACCUUAGGGGAGGAGGUGUGCUUCAUCAAUGAUAUUGUUAUGUAACUGGUAUGCGAAGUAGGGAUAAGCAACAACAGUAACACAGGAGGUAAUAUUCCAAAAUAAGAAUGCUGAAGGGGGAAAGGGGGCACUUUAUAAUAGAUGGGGAUAAGGGAAAAUCAUUAACAUUUAAUGAGUUUCUAUGUACUAGAGGCUCUUAAUUCCAUCACAAGAACACUGUAAGGUUGGCACAACCAUUUUACAAAUGAGGACAACAGGCUUGUGAGGUUUCCUGACUUGUUCAAGUUGUUAUCAGAUCCAGGUAACAAUAUUAACCUUUGCCAGUAGGAUCUAAUACCAUCUGAAAAUAGCAUUAGGUUUGAGGUAUUAGUCCAUCAAAAACAAUACAAAAUUAGUA